CCUACGGGAGGCAGCAGUGGGGGAUAUUGCACAAUGGGGGGGACCCUGAUGCAGCGACGCCGCGUGGGUGAAGAAGCGCCUCGGCGCGUAAAGCCCUGUCAGCAGGGAAGAAAAUGACGGUACCUGAAGAAGAAGCCCCGGCUAACUUCGUGCCAGCAGCCGCGGUAAUACGUAGGGGGCAAGCGUUAUCCGGAUUUACUGGGUGUAAAGGGGGCGCAGACGGCGAUGCAAGCCAGGAGUGAAGGCCCGGGGACCAACCCCGGGACUGCUCUUGGAACGGCGUGGCUGGAGUGCAGGAGGGGCAGGCGGAAUUGCGGGUGUAGCGGUGAAAUGCGUAGAUAUCAGGAGGAACACCGGUGGCGAAGGCGGCCUGCUGGACUGCAACUGACGUUGAGCCCGAAAGCGUGGGGAGCAAACAGGAUUAGUUACCCUUGUAGUC
This 439-nucleotide ribosomal RNA is filed under the name uncultured bacterium. RNAcentral's name for it is "partial 16S ribosomal RNA". It matches the Rfam family "Bacterial small subunit ribosomal RNA", at positions 338 to 795 of the family's 1533-position model. The record is from RNAcentral.